Molecule: ribosomal RNA, 805 nt
Filed under: uncultured bacterium
Lineage: Bacteria
Description: bacterial SSU rRNA
Rfam family: Bacterial small subunit ribosomal RNA
Source: RNAcentral
UGGGGAAUAUUGCACAAUGGGCGCAAGCCUGAUGCAGCGACGCCGCGUGAGGGAUGAAGGCCUUCGGGUUGUAAACCUCUUUCAGCAGGGAAGAAGCGCAAGUGACGGUACCUGCAGAAGAAGCGCCGGCUAACUACGUGCCAGCAGCCGCGGUAAUACGUAGGGCGCAAGCGUUGUCCGGAAUUAUUGGGCGUAAAGAGCUCGUAGGCGGUUUGUCGCGUCUGCUGUGAAAACUCGAGGCUCAACCUCGGGCUUGCAGUGGGUACGGGCAGACUAGAGUGCGGUAGGGGAGACUGGAAUUCCUGGUGUAGCGGUGGAAUGCGCAGAUAUCAGGAGGAACACCGAUGGCGAAGGCAGGUCUCUGGGCCGCAACUGACGCUGAGGAGCGAAAGCAUGGGGAGCGAACAGGAUUAGAUACCCUGGUAGUCCAUGCCGUAAACGUUGGGCACUAGGUGUGGGGCUCAUUCCACGAGUUCCGUGCCGCAGCAAACGCAUUAAGUGCCCCGCCUGGGGAGUACGGCCGCAAGGCUAAAACUCAAAGAAAUUGACGGGGGCCCGCACAAGCGGCGGAGCAUGCGGAUUAAUUCGAUGCAACGCGAAGAACCUUACCAAGGCUUGACAUACACCGGAAACUUCCAGAGAUGGUUGCCCCGCAAGGUCGGUGUACAGGUGGUGCAUGGUUGUCGUCAGCUCGUGUCGUGAGAUGUUGGGUUAAGUCCCGCAACGAGCGCAACCCUCGUCCUAUGUUGCCAGCGGGUCAUACCGGGGACUCAUAGGAGACUGCCGGGGUCAACUCGGAGGAAGG